RNAcentral lists this ribosomal RNA (253 nucleotides) under uncultured bacterium. RNAcentral describes it as "partial 16S ribosomal RNA". It matches the Rfam family "Bacterial small subunit ribosomal RNA", at positions 524 to 776 of the family's 1533-position model. The record is from RNAcentral.
UACGUAGGUGGCAAGCGUUGUUCGGAAUUACUGGGCGUAAAGCGCGCGUAGGCGGCUCUUCAAGUCAGGCGUGAAAGCCCCGGGCUUAACUCGGGAACUGCGCUUGAUACUGUCGAGCUAGAGUGUGGAAGGGGCGAUUGGAAUUCCGUGUGUAGCGGUGAAAUGCGUAGAUAUACGGAGGAACACCAGGGGCGAAGGCGGAUCGCUGGGCCAACACUGACGCUGAUGCGCGAAAGCUAGGGGAGCAAACAGG